Molecule: ribosomal RNA, 254 nt
Filed under: uncultured bacterium
Lineage: Bacteria
Description: partial 16S ribosomal RNA
Rfam family: Bacterial small subunit ribosomal RNA
Source: RNAcentral
CACGUAGGCACCAAGCGUUAUCCGGAUUUAUUGGGCGUAAAGAGCUCGUAGGCGGUUCGGUAAGUCGGGUGUAAAAACUCUGGGCUCAACCCAGAGAGGCCAUCCGAUACUGCUGUGACUAGAGUGCGGUAGGGGAGCGGGGAAUUCAUGGUGUAGCGGUGAAAUGCGCAGAUAUCAUGAGGAACACCAGCGGCGAAGGCGCCGCUCUGGGCCGUAACUGACGCUGAGGAGCGAAAGCAUGGGUAGCAAACAGG